AUUGAACGCUGGCGGCAGGCCUAACACAUGCAAGUCGAGCGGAUGAAGGGAGCUUGCUCCUGGAUUCAGCGGCGGACGGGUGAGUAAUGCCUAGGAAUCUGCCUGGUAGUGGGGGAUAACGUCCGGAAACGGGCGCUAAUACCGCAUACGUCCUGAGGGAGAAAGUGGGGGAUCUUCGGACCUCACGCUAUCAGAUGAGCCUAGGUCGGAUUAGCUAGUUGGUGGGGUAAAGGCCUACCAAGGCGACGAUCCGUAACUGGUCUGAGAGGAUGAUCAGUCACACUGGAACUGAGACACGGACCAGACUCCUACGGGAGGCAGCAGUGGGGAAUAUUGGACAAUGGGCGAAAGCCUGAUCCAGCCAUGCCGCGUGUGUGAAGAAGGUCUUCGGAUUGUAAAGCACUUUAAGGUGGGAGGAAGGGCAGUAAGUUAAUACCUUGCUGUUUUGACGUUACCAACAGAAUAAGCACCGGCUAACUUCGUG
Molecule: ribosomal RNA, 484 nt
Filed under: uncultured bacterium
Lineage: Bacteria
Description: partial 16S ribosomal RNA
Rfam family: Bacterial small subunit ribosomal RNA
Source: RNAcentral